Molecule: ribosomal RNA, 292 nt
Filed under: uncultured bacterium
Lineage: Bacteria
Description: partial 16S ribosomal RNA
Rfam family: Bacterial small subunit ribosomal RNA
Source: RNAcentral
GUGUCAGCAGCCGCGGUAAUACGAAGGGGGCUAGCGUUGUUCGGAAUCACUGGGCGUAAAGCGCACGUAGGCGGGCCGUUAAGUCGGGGGUGAAAGCCUGGAGCUCAACUCCAGAACUGCCUUCGAUACUGGCGGCCUUGAGUCCGGGAGAGGUGAGUGGAACUCCUAGUGUAGAGGUGAAAUUCGUAGAUAUUAGGAAGAACACCAGUGGCGAAGGCGGCUCACUGGCCCGGUACUGACGCUGAGGUGCGAAAGCGUGGGGAGCAAACAGGAUUAGAAACCCCCGUAGUCC